This 374-nucleotide ribosomal RNA is filed under the name uncultured organism. Its description in RNAcentral is "partial 16S ribosomal RNA". It matches the Rfam family "Bacterial small subunit ribosomal RNA", at positions 527 to 896 of the family's 1533-position model. The record is from RNAcentral.
GUAGGUGGCAAGCGUUGUCCGGAAUUAUUGGGCGUAAAGCGCGCGCAGGCGGUCCUUUAAGUCUGAUGUGAAAGCCCACGGCUCAACCGUGGAGGGUCAUUGGAAACUGGGGGACUUGAGUACAGAAGAGGAAAGCGGAAUUCCACGUGUAGCGGUGAAAUGCGUAGAGAUGUGGAGGAACACCAGUGGCGAAGGCGGCUUUCUGGUCUGUAACUGACGCUGAGGCGCGAAAGCGUGGGGAGCAAACAGGGAUUAGAUACCCUGGUAGUCCACGCCGUAAACGAUGAGUGCUAAGUGUUAGGGGGUUUCCCGCCCCUUAGUGCUGCAGCUAACGCAUUAAGCACUCCGCCUGGGGAGUACGGCCCGCAAGGCUG